RNAcentral lists this ribosomal RNA (119 nucleotides) under Pteropus alecto (black flying fox). Lineage: Eukaryota; Metazoa; Chordata; Mammalia; Chiroptera; Pteropodidae. The record is from RNAcentral.
GUCUAUGGCCAUGCCACCCUGAACACACCCUAUCUCAUCUGAUCUCAGAAGCUAAGCAGGGUCGGGCCUGGUUAGUACUUGGCUGGGAGACCACCCAGGAAGACCAGGUGCUGCAGGCA